Molecule: long non-coding RNA, 1550 nt
Organism: Piliocolobus tephrosceles (Ugandan red Colobus)
Lineage: Eukaryota; Metazoa; Chordata; Mammalia; Primates; Cercopithecidae
Source: Ensembl
AAAUUGGUUGUAUUCUAAAACUUUUAUGUAGUAAACAUAACAGUUGUCAAAAGUGAACAAUUUUAUUAUAAAAUAAAAGUGUUAUUUAUAUUUUAUUAUAAAUUUAUUAAUAUAUGUAAAUUACACAUAAUAUUAUAUAUUUGUGAUUUUUAUAUUCACUAAAAUAAAUAAAAUAAAAAAAAAAACUUACGAGAUUUACAUUAUUAUACAAUUCUAAUUCUAUUGAAACAAAAUUUAAUCUUUAAAAAAUGACGGAAGUUAUAAAUAAGUUACCUUCUAGAGUAUUUUAUGGUAAGUUGUUGGAUAAGAGUGAUCUUAGUUAUUACGCUGAAAGUCCACAUGUACAUAAUAUAGAAAAAAGUAUUCAAAAUUUCGGACGUGCAAAAGAAAUUAUGAUGAUGCUUGAAAAGAAUUUAGAUAUGUUUUAUCAUAAUGAAGACACACCUUUUAAUAAAAAACAUUGUUUCGAUGUGAAUUUUUGGUUAUAUAAUACGAUAAAUGAAAAUUUAACUAAACCAAAAAGCAAUAAGAAAUUAUUUAAAGUACUUGAUAAAUAUCAUAAAGAGUGGGAUGUAAUAAAUCAAUCUAAAGAAAUUGAUAAAGAAAUUAUAUGCGAACCAAAUAGAACUUUAAUAGAUAUAAAAUAUUUAAGGGAGGUUAAACAUUUAUUUGAUUAUUUUGAAAAUUUUGAUUAUGUCAAAGAUGAGGCAAAGAAGAACCCUGAUGAUGCUUGUAAAAUUUUUUAUAAGCCAUUAAAAAAAUUAAUUCCAAUAUUUUUUAGAUGGACAGAUAUAUGUCAACUAGAAGAACCAAAUAUAUGCAAUACACAUAUAUCGAAUCCUGGCAAUUAUACUCCAAGAGCAAUGUUAAAGCAUGUUAAUCUUAUUAGUCUUACCUUUUCAGCCUUGGUGAAUUCAUGCUUUAAACAAGUUAUUGAUUUAGUAAAACAAUCUGAACAGUUGAAACAUAAAACAUAUGUUAUAGUUAGAUAUAAAAAUGAAGCUAAAAUGUUAAAAUUAAUAAAAAAGAAGAGUAGAUCAUUAGCUGAAACAGAUGAUAUGUUAGGAAUACUACAUGGAGAUGAUAAUAGCUGUGGUUUAUUAAGUUAUAUAGUAUGGUUUUUUUACCAAACAUAUUUAUAUAUUAAUGAAAAUAUUAUUUUAGUAAGUGCCUUUAUGCUAGGAAUGUUAUUUGUUUUCGGUAUUUUUUACCAAGUAAACAAUAUUUCUAAAAAAAAAAAAAAAAAUUAAACACCUUAUUUUAUUUUUGAAAACAUAUUAUCAUAAACAAUAUUAACGAAAAAGAAAAAAAAUAUAUGUAUAUAUAUACAUAUAUAAAUAUAUUUACAACUUUUUUUUUUUUUAUAUUUUUUUUUAUAUAUAUUUUUUUUUUUUUUUUUUUUAAUUAUGUCAAUUUUUUAUGAAAUUUUUACUAUUCCAUUUGAUAAAUUUUAUCAUUGUUAUUAUUUUUAUUUUUUACAUAAAUAUUUUUAUUAUAAUUUAUAACUAUAAUAUAAUAAAAUUUUAUUUACGAAUAGAAUUUUUAUUAUA